RNAcentral lists this ribosomal RNA (643 nucleotides) under uncultured bacterium. Its description in RNAcentral is "bacterial SSU rRNA". It matches the Rfam family "Bacterial small subunit ribosomal RNA", at positions 144 to 803 of the family's 1533-position model. The record is from RNAcentral.
CAACAGUUGGAAACGACUGCUAAUACCGCAUAAGCCCACGGCUCGGCAUCGAGCAGAGGGAAAAGGAGCAAUCCGCUUUGAGAUGGCCUCGCGUCCGAUUAGCUAGUUGGUGGGGUAACGGCCCACCAAGGCAACGAUCGGUAGCCGGACUGAGAGGUUGAACGGCCACAUUGGGACUGAGACACGGCCCAGACUCCUACGGGAGGCAGCAGUGGGGAAUAUUGCACAAUGGGGGAAACCCUGAUGCAGCGACGCCGCGUGGAGGAAGAAGGUCUUCGGAUUGUAAACUCCUGUUGUUGGGGAAGAUAAUGACGGUACCCAACAAGGAAGUGACGGCUAACUACGUGCCAGCAGCCGCGGUAAAACGUAGGUCACAAGCGUUGUCCGGAAUUACUGGGUGUAAAGGGAGCGCAGGCGGGAAGACAAGUUGGAAGUGAAAUCUAUGGGCUCAACCCAUAAACUGCUUUCAAAACUGUUUUUCUUGAGUAGUGCAGAGGUAGGCGGAAUUCCCGGUGUAGCGGUGGAAUGCGUAGAUAUCGGGAGGAACACCAGUGGCGAAGGCGGCCUACUGGGCACCAACUGACGCUGAGGCUCGAAAGUGUGGGUAGCAAACAGGAUUAGAUACCCUGGUAGUCCACACCGU